RNAcentral lists this long non-coding RNA (1178 nucleotides) under Solanum tuberosum (potato). RNAcentral describes it as "long non-coding RNA (STUB_LNC010213)". Lineage: Eukaryota; Viridiplantae; Streptophyta; Magnoliopsida; Solanales; Solanaceae. The record is from RNAcentral.
GGGGGCUUGACUUCAAAUAAAUCAACUAGUCGAUUUCAAAUAAUUUAGAACAAACAGUGAAGGCUACUUAAUUUAUACAAUUAAUUUUCCGAGUGUCACAAUUAUUUUAUCAUGCUUAAGGGUAAAGAAAAUCAUAUCAUGAGAGUAUUCAAUGAGAAGCAGGGCAACUUAAACUCGCACAAAAUCAGAUUCGCCAAAAUUUAACACAUCGAAACUUGGCAGAGAAAGGUCCUUGAUAAUGUUUCCAGAAAACAUAUAGCUAAUUUAGAGACUUGGACAAAUGUCUUUAUAGAUUAUACAAAUUCAAAUGGAAAGACAAGGAAAUUUCAACGCUUCAUCACUUAGAUUCACAACUCCAAAUUACAUGAAAACGACCAUGAAGAGAUUACAAAGUAAACGAGUUUAGACACUUAAAACUUACUCAAAACUGAUCUACUUUAAGCUAAAGGAAUAAAAGAAAACGUUAAGACAUUCAAGAGAGACUUAAACUUUCAAUCAUGACCACAGUGAGGUAGCAUACAUUAAUAGUGACUAAAGAAAACAACAGUAAGGCAAGAGCUGCAAUAUACUAAACAAAAGAAGAAGGAAACAUUCACAUUUAAGGUGCUAAAAAGUAAAUAAACUAUUACAAAAAUAAGCAACACACAUGAAUGAUAAAAUGAAAGAAACAGAGAUAAAAAUUACUCAAGAAAAGAAAGAAAAUUACCUGGUUCUGGGCAGCGAAUCGGAACGACGAGUUUGACGGAGACGAUUCCACCACCUCUUUCAACUCGAACGACCACAAAAUCCACAAAAUUUUAAACUAUUGAACCGAGAAUUCCCAAACCUUUUAGGGGUACUCUCAAGUCUCAAAAAUCCGUCCCUUGAACAGUGAGCAAAAAAGGGUAUUUAUAAGGCAGCUUCUAGGUCGAAAUUGAGGGAGAAAACGAUGUGGGAAAAUCCGAAAUUCAAAAAUCUUAAAGGAUAAGGCUAGGUGAGCUGGAGGGUGUACGAAUUCGUACUAUUUUGAAUGAAAUUAGAAAAGGAAAAAUCGAAAAAAAUGGAAGUAUACCGUUGAGGAACAAUCCAAGAAGUUUCGCGUGUUCGGCCUCGUGCCAGGCACGCCCUUACUGUAUGAAUUCAUAUGAGGAUUUGGAGAAAUGGGGUCGUUUUGAUGAUGGGUUGGAGGUUGUUCUUCG